GUACACGAGCGGCGAACGGGUGAGUAACACGUGGGUGAUCUGCCCUGUACUUCGGGAUAAUCCUGGGAAACUGGGUCUAAUACCGGAUAUGACCUUACAUCGCAUGGUGUUUGGUGGAAAGAUUUAUCGGUACAGGAUGGGCCCGCGGCCUAUCAGCUUGUUGGUGGGGUAAUGGCCUACCAAGGCGACGACGGGUAGCCGGCCUGAGAGGGCGACCGGCCACACUGGGACUGAGACACGGCCCAGACUCCUACGGGAGGCAGCAGUGGGGAAUAUUGCACAAUGGGCGAAAGCCUGAUGCAGCGACGCCGCGUGAGGGAUGACGGCCUUCGGGUUGUAAACCUCUAUCGACAGGGACGAAGCGCAAGUGACGGUACCUGUAGAAGAAGCACCGGCCAACUACGUGCCAGCAGCCGCGGUAAUACGUAGGGUGCGAGCGUUGUCCGGAAUUACUGGGCGUAAAGAGCUUGUAGGCGGUUUGUCGCGUCGUCCGUGAAAACUUGGGGCUCAACCCCAAGCUUGCGGGCGAUACGGGCAGACUUGAGUACUGCAGGGGAGACUGGAAUUCCUGGUGUAGCGGUGAAAUGCGCAGAUAUCAGGAGGAACACCGGUGGCGAAGGCGGGUCUCUGGGCAGUAACUGACGCUGAGAAGCGAAAGCGUGGGUAGCGAACAGGAUUAGAUACCCUGGUAGUCCACGCCGUAAACGGUGGGCGCUAGGUGUGGGUUUCCUUCCACGGGAUCCGUGCCGUAGCUAACGCAUUAAGCGCGCGGCCUGGGGAGUACGGCCGCAAGGCUAAAACUCAAAGGAAUUGACGGGGGCCCGCACUAGCGGCGGAGCAUGUGGAUUAAUUCGAUGCAACGCCAAGAACCUUACCUGGGUUUGACAUA
RNAcentral lists this ribosomal RNA (889 nucleotides) under Nocardia kroppenstedtii. RNAcentral describes it as "bacterial SSU rRNA". It matches the Rfam family "Bacterial small subunit ribosomal RNA", at positions 87 to 988 of the family's 1533-position model. The record is from RNAcentral. Lineage: Bacteria; Bacillati; Actinomycetota; Actinomycetes; Mycobacteriales; Nocardiaceae.